AGUGAACGCUGGCGGUAGGCCUAACACAUGCAAGUCGAACGGCAGCACAGUAAGAGCUUGCCCUUACGGGUGGCGAGUGGCGGACGGGUGAGGAAUACAUCGGAAUCUACUUUUUCGUGGGGGAUAACGUAGGGAAACUUACGCUAAUACCGCAUACGACCUACGGGUGAAAGCAGGGGAUCUUCGGACCUUGCGCGAUUGAAUGAGCCGAUGUCGGAUUAGCUAGUUGGCGGGGUAAAGGCCCACCAAGGCGACGAUCCGUAGCUGGUCUGAGAGGAUGAUCAGCCACACUGGAACUGAGACACGGUCCAGACUCCUACGGGAGGCAGCAGUGGGGAAUAUUGGACAAUGGGCGCAAGCCUGAUCCAGCCAUACCGCGUGGGUGAAGAAGGCCUUCGGGUUGUAAAGCCCUUUUGUUGGGAAAGAAAAGCAGCAGGUUAAUACCCCGCCGUUCUGACGGUACCCAAAGAAUAAGCACCGGCUAACUUCGUG
This 492-nucleotide ribosomal RNA is filed under the name uncultured bacterium. RNAcentral describes it as "partial 16S ribosomal RNA". It matches the Rfam family "Bacterial small subunit ribosomal RNA", at positions 29 to 507 of the family's 1533-position model. The record is from RNAcentral.